CACGUAGGGCGCAAGCGUUGUCCGGAAUUAUUGGGCGUAAAGAGCUCGUAGGCGGUCUGUUGCGUCCGCUGUGAAAACUCGGGGCUUAACCCCGAGCCUGCAGUGGAUACGGGCAGACUAGAGGUAGGUAGGGGAGAAUGGAAUUCCCGGUGUAGCGGUGAAAUGCGCAGAUAUCGGGAGGAACACCGGUGGCGAAGACGGUUCUCUGGGCCUUACCUGACGCUGAGGAGCGAAAGCGUGGGGAGCGAACAGG
Molecule: ribosomal RNA, 253 nt
Filed under: uncultured bacterium
Lineage: Bacteria
Description: partial 16S ribosomal RNA
Rfam family: Bacterial small subunit ribosomal RNA
Source: RNAcentral